UAGGGAAUCUUCCACAAUGGACGCAAGUCUGAUGGAGCAACGCCGCGUGAGUGAAGAAGGUUUUCGGACCGUAAAGCUCUGUUGUUGGUGAAGAAGGAUAGAGGUAGUAACUGGCCUUUAUUUGACGGUAAUCAACCAGAAAGUCACGGCUAACUACGUGCCAGCAGCCGCGGUAAUACGUAGGUGGCAAGCGUUGUCCGGAUUUAUUGGGCGUAAAGCGAGCGCAGGCGGAAGAAUAAGUCUGAUGUGAAAGCCCUCGGCUUAACCGAGGAAUUGCAUCGGAAACUGUUUUCUUGAGUGCAGAAGAGGAGAGUAGAACUCCAUGUGUAGCGGUGGAAUGCGUAGAUAUAUGGAAGAAUACCAGUGGCGAAGGCGGCUCUCUGGUCUGCAACUGACGUUGAGGCUCGAAAGCAUGGGUAGCGAACAGGAUUAGAUACCCUGGUAGUCCAUGCCGUAAACGAUGAGUGCUAAGUGUUGGGAGGCUUCCGCCUCUCAGUGCUGCAGCUAACGCAUUAAGCACUCCGCCUGGGGGAGUACGACCGCAAGGUUGAAAC
This 554-nucleotide ribosomal RNA is filed under the name uncultured bacterium. Its description in RNAcentral is "partial 16S ribosomal RNA". It matches the Rfam family "Bacterial small subunit ribosomal RNA", at positions 355 to 900 of the family's 1533-position model. The record is from RNAcentral.